This is an unclassified non-coding RNA of Callithrix jacchus (white-tufted-ear marmoset), 320 nucleotides long. It matches the Rfam family "Metazoan signal recognition particle RNA". From Rfam's summary of the family: The signal recognition particle (SRP) is a universally conserved ribonucleoprotein. It is involved in the co-translational targeting of proteins to membranes. The record is from Ensembl. Lineage: Eukaryota; Metazoa; Chordata; Mammalia; Primates; Cebidae.
GCCGGGCGCCGUGGCGCGUGCCUGUAGUCCCAGCUACUCGGGAGGCUGAGGCUGGAGGAUUGCCUGAGCCCAGGAGUUCUGGGAUGUAAUGCACUAUUGCUGAUCGGGUGUCCACACUAAGUUCGGCAUCAAUAUGGUGACCUCCUGGGAGCGGAGGACCACCAAGUUGCCUAAGGCGGGGUGGGGGGGUAGGGGAGUGGUGAACCGACCCAGGUGGGAAAAGGAGCAGAUAAAAACUCCCGUGCUGACCAGUAGUGGGAUUGCGCCUGUGCAUAGCCACUGCACUCCAGCCUGGGCAACAUAGCAAGAUCCUGUCUUGU